UACGUAGGGGGCGAGCGUUGUCCGGAUUCAUUGGGCGUAAAGAGCUCGUAGGCGGCUUGUCAAGUCGGGUGUGAAACCUCCAGGCUCAACCUGGAGACGCCACUCGAGACUGUCAUGGCUAGAGUCCGGUAGGGGAUCACGGAAUUCCUGGUGUAGCGGUGAAAUGCGCAGAUAUCAGGAAGAACACCCGUGGCUAAGGCGGUUCUCUAGUACGGUACUGACGCUGAGACGCGAAAGCGUGGGGAGCGAACAGG
Molecule: ribosomal RNA, 254 nt
Filed under: uncultured bacterium
Lineage: Bacteria
Description: partial 16S ribosomal RNA
Rfam family: Bacterial small subunit ribosomal RNA
Source: RNAcentral